GACGAACGCUGGCGGCGUGCUUAACACAUGCAAGUCGAACGGAAAGGCCCAGCUUGCUGGGUGCUCGAGUGGCGAACGGGUGAGUAACACGUGGGUGAUCUGCCCCUAACUUCGGGAUAAGCUUGGGAAACUGGGUCUAAUACCGGAUAGGACAAUCGUUUAGUGUCGGUUGUGGAAAGUUUUUUCGGUUAGGGAUGAGCCCGCGGCCUAUCAGCUUGUUGGUGGGGUAAUGGCCUACCAAGGCGUCGACGGGUAGCCGGCCUGAGAGGGUGGACGGCCACAUUGGGACUGAGAUACGGCCCAGACUCCUACGGGAGGCAGCAGUGGGGAAUAUUGCACAAUGGGCGCAAGCCUGAUGCAGCGACGCCGCGUGGGGGAUGACGGCCUUCGGGUUGUAAACCUCUUUCGACAGGGACGAAGCUUUGGUGACGGUACCUGUAUAAGAAGCACCGGCUAACUACGUGCCAGCAGCCGCGGUAAUACGUAGGGUGCGAGCGUUGUCCGGAAUUACUGGGCGUAAAGAGCUCGUAGGUGGUUUGUCGCGUCGUCUGUGAAAUUCCGGGGCUUAACUUCGGGCGUGCAGGCGAUACGGGCAUAACUUGAGUGCUGUAGGGGAGACUGGAAUUCCUGGUGUAGCGGUGGAAUGCGCAGAUAUCAGGAGGAACACCGAUGGCGAAGGCAGGUCUCUGGGCAGUAACUGACGCUGAGGAGCGAAAGCAUGGGGAGCGAACAGGAUUAGAUACCCUGGUAGUCCAUGCCGUAAACGGUGGGCGCUAGGUGUAGGGGUCUUCCACGACUUCUGUGCCGUAGCUAACGCAUUAAGCGCCCCGCCUGGGGAGUACGGCCGCAAGGCUAAAACUCAAAGGAAUUGACGGGGGCCCGCACAAGCGGCGGAGCAUGUGGAUUAAUUCGAUGCAACGCGAAGAACCUUACCUGGGCUUGACAUAUACAGGACUGGGCCAGAGAUGGUCUUUCCCUUUGUGGCUUGUAUACAGGUGGUGCAUGGUUGUCGUCAGCUCGUGUCGUGAGAUGUUGGGUUAAGUCCCGCAACGAGCGCAACCCUUGUCUUAUGUUGCCAGCGGUUUUGGCCGGGGACUCAUGAGAGACUGCCGGGGUUAACUCGGAGGAAGGUGGGGAUGACGUCAAAUCAUCAUGCCCCUUAUGUCCAGGGCUUCACACAUGCUACAAUGGUCGGUACAACGCGCUGCGAGCCUGUGAGGGUGAGCGAAUCGCUGAAAGCCGGCCUCAGUUCGGAUUGGGGUCUGCAACUCGACCCCAUGAAGUCGGAGUCGCUAGUAAUCGCAGAUCAGCAACGCUGCGGUGAAUACGUUCCCGGGCCU
Molecule: ribosomal RNA, 1340 nt
Filed under: uncultured bacterium
Lineage: Bacteria
Description: bacterial SSU rRNA
Rfam family: Bacterial small subunit ribosomal RNA
Source: RNAcentral